UGGGGAAUAUUGGACAAUGGGCGAAAGCCUGAUCCAGCCAUGCCGCGUGUGUGAAGAAGGUCUUCGGAUUGUAAAGCACUUUAAGUUGGGAGGAAGGGCAGUAAGCGAAUACCUUGCUGUUUUGACGUUACCGACAGAAUAAGCACCGGCUAACUCUGUGCCAGCAGCCGCGGUAAUACAGAGGGUGCAAGCGUUAAUCGGAAUUACUGGGCGUAAAGCGCGCGUAGGUGGUUCGUUAAGUUGAAUGUGAAAACCCCGGGCUCAACCUGGGAACUGCAUCCAAAACUGGCGAGCUAGAGUAGGGCAGAGGGUGGUGGAAUUUCCUGUGUAGCGGUGAAAUGCGUAGAUAUAGGAAGGAACACCAGUGGCGAAGGCGACCACCUGGGCUCAUACUGACACUGAGGUGCGAAAGCGUGGGGAGCAAACAGG
RNAcentral lists this ribosomal RNA (429 nucleotides) under Pseudomonadota bacterium. RNAcentral's name for it is "Proteobacteria bacterium partial 16S ribosomal RNA". It matches the Rfam family "Bacterial small subunit ribosomal RNA", at positions 355 to 776 of the family's 1533-position model. Lineage: Bacteria; Pseudomonadati; Pseudomonadota. The record is from RNAcentral.